UCCGUAGGGUGAACCUGCGGAGGGAUCAUUACACAAAUAUGAAGGCGGGCUGGAAUCUCUCGGGGUUACAGCCUUGCUGAAUUAUUCACCCUUGUCUUUUGCGUACUUCUUGUUUCCUUGGUGGGUUCGCCCACCACUAGGACAAACAUAAACCUUUUGUAAUUGCAAUCAGCGUCAGUAACAAAUUAAUAAUUACAACUUUCAACAACGGAUCUCUUGGUUCUGGCAUCGAUGAAGAACGCAGCGAAAUGCGAUAAGUAGUGUGAAUUGCAGAAUUCAGUGAAUCAUCGAAUCUUUGAACGCACAUUGCGCCCUUUGGUAUUCCAAAGGGCAUGCCUGUUCGAGCGUCAUUUGUACCCUCAAGCUUUGCUUGGUGUUGGGCGUCUUGUCUCUAGCUUUGCUGGAGACUCGCCUUAAAGUAAUUGGCAGCCGGCCUACUGGUUUCGGAGCGCAGCACAAGUCGCACUCUCUAUCAGCAAAGGUCUAGCAUCCAUUAAGCCUUUUUUCAACUUUUGACCUCGGAUCAGGUAGGGAUACCCGCUGAACUUAAGCAUAUCAAUAAGCGGAGGAA
This 571-nucleotide ribosomal RNA is filed under the name Alternaria sp. BAB-4840. RNAcentral's name for it is "eukaryotic LSU rRNA". The stretch from base 197 to 350 matches the Rfam family "5.8S ribosomal RNA". Lineage: Eukaryota; Fungi; Ascomycota; Dothideomycetes; Pleosporales; Pleosporaceae. The record is from RNAcentral.